Mus musculus (house mouse) is the source of this 1611-nucleotide long non-coding RNA. RefSeq annotates it as predicted gene, 54080. The transcript is spliced from 4 exons. The record is from RefSeq and is a predicted model, not a curated record. Lineage: Eukaryota; Metazoa; Chordata; Mammalia; Rodentia; Muridae.
ACAGAUACAGUGUACUUACAUAUAAUAAAUAAAUAAAUAUUUAAAAAAAAGAAAAAGCCUUUGGGGCUUUGGAAAUACUUUGUAUUUAUGUGGUGAUGUUUACAAGCAUUUUUAUACAUCUGUCAAAACAAACCAAAAUAUUCAUUAAAAAUAGUUGCAUCUCUGGGGUCAAUAAGAUGGUAUAACAUGUAUAGAUUUACCACAAAGCUGGAUAACAUGAGUUCAAUACCUAGGUCCCUCAAGUUAUGACAAAACUGACUCUUGGAAGAUGUCCUCUGACCUACACAUAUGUACAGUAGUACAUGUCUCCAUGCUAGUGCAACACAGAGAAACCCUGUCUCAAAAAAUGUAUUUAAAAAGAAAUAAAUAUGUCAAAAAAUAGGGAUAAGAUAUAUAUCUGUGUUUAUAAACAGCAUGUAAAUUUAGUUCAUUUACAUGUUUUACUUUCAAACAGGCAGCCAUUAAUUCCAGAGAGUAAUGAAGUAUCACAUUGAAAUGGUCCUGUGUGUUAUAAACCAGUUGGUCUGCAUUAUGUCUUGGACAUGACUCUAGCUCCUAAAAUAGUAAAUUCUAAAAACGAAUGCUACCUCUAUGUGAACUCCUUUCUUCAGCUUCUCUUCUGGCUUAAUAUUAUUUAACCUUAUUUUAUUUUAUUUAUUUAUUUAUUUAUUUAUUUAUUUAUUUAUUUAUGCUAUUUUUUAAAUGUUUGGAUUGUUUCUAGUACAAGGUAAGGCUGUUUAAAAGUAAAUGAAAUAAACUUCUUUGAGCUUCCUUUUGCUACAGUAAAGGGGACAUGAAUUUACCUCAGCACCUUUACACAUAUUAUGGCAUUUUUACACAUACACAUAAAAAUGCUGGCCACUAGGAGACUUGGAAAUUCAGUGGAACUGAUUUCAGAAGGCAUCUCAUUACUAUGCUCUGCAGCAGAACACCUGUGGUAGCCUUCUGGGAUGUAGGGAUGUUCUCAUCUCCUGUGACUCCCACGGAUCUUCUUCUAAUAUCCCUCUCCCCACUCAUUGUUUUCACCCAGCCCCUCAACCCUAGCACUGGGAACGCAGCAGCUGAGCAGGCCAAGGAAAGCAGAAUGACCACAGAAUUGUGGCCACUGUAGAAGACAGCUAUGGGCACAAAAAUGAGGACAGUUCCCAGCAGUGCACUUUUCACCACAAGCCUCUUUAUCGCCAAAUUCUGCAACCAAUACCUGAAUGUUUCCCAUAUGUGACAUGGCAUUUAGUCAUUUCUGUUCUUUCGUGAAAAUGCUUCACUUCUGCUUAGACUCCAGAUCUAGGCUCAGCUUCUUCUUCCCACGUCUAAUCCUGAAAAAGGUCCAUACAGUCAGCUACAAAAAGAACCUGUGUUGUCAUCUGGAUGGUCUGGGCCACUGAAAUACCAUAAAGUCUGACUGGCUUUAUCAUGUAGUUUGGCCUGAGAAGUCUAUCACCCUGGAGUGAAUGAAGCCUUUGACAAUCAUCCUCUCUAAGGUUAGUGCCACUAUACUUGCCCACUCAUAGUUAUCAUUAGGCAAAAGAGUACUGAGAACCAACCAAGUAGCAAUUGAUGCAGAAAAAUUUAGUCCUAGUAUAUGAGAACUGGCCACAAGGUGUUCUAAAU